Molecule: ribosomal RNA, 253 nt
Filed under: uncultured bacterium
Lineage: Bacteria
Description: partial 16S ribosomal RNA
Rfam family: Bacterial small subunit ribosomal RNA
Source: RNAcentral
UACGUAGGGGGCAAGCGUUAUCCGGAUUUACUGGGUGUAAAGGGGGCGCAGACGGCGAUGCAAGCCAGGAGUGAAAGCCCGGGGCCCAACCCCGGGACUGCUCUUGGAACUGCGUGGCUGGAGUGCAGGAGGGGCAGGCGGAAUUCCUGGUGUAGCGGUGAAAUGCGUAGAUAUCAGGAGGAACACCGGUGGCGAAGGCGGCCUGCUGGACUGCAACUGACGUUGAGGCCCGGAAGCGUGGGGAGCAAACAGG